This 211-nucleotide long non-coding RNA is filed under the name Elaeis guineensis (African oil palm). RNAcentral describes it as "long non-coding RNA (EGUI_LNC024424)". Lineage: Eukaryota; Viridiplantae; Streptophyta; Magnoliopsida; Arecales; Arecaceae. The record is from RNAcentral.
GAUCGAUGGCCCUCAAAGGAUAGAAUUGAAAAUAUUUUAAUCCAUCGAAAAGAGUUUUGAUAAUAUUGUGAUGGAGAUCACAGUAUAUCUCACUACCAGAUAGAAUAAAAUUUAUGAGAUCACAUAUUAAGGGAUUUAAUCUCGAAUUUAUCAAUUGGGCUUAUGAAAUUUUAAUUGGGUUAAGAUUUAGUGAAAUCCUAUUAAGUUUAUA